GACGAACGCUGGCGGCGUGCUUAACACAUGCAAGUCGAACGGAAAGGCCUGCUUUCCCUUGUGGAUUGCGGGUACUCGAGUGGCGAACGGGUGAGUAACACGUGAGUGAUCUGCCCCCAACUUGGGUAUAAGCCUGGGAAACUGGGUCUAAUUCCCGAUAGGACUGCAGGGUGGUGCCUGUGGUGGAAAACGAUUUUCUAGUGGUUGGGGAUGAGCUCGCGGCCUAUCAGCUUGUUGGUGGGGUAAUGGCCUACCAAGGCGGCGACGGGUAGCCGGCCUGAGAGGGUGGACGGCCACAUUGGGACUGAGAUACGGCCCAGACUCCUACGGGAGGCAGCAGUGGGGAAUAUUGCACAAUGGGCGGAAGCCUGAUGCAGAGACGCCGCGUGGGGGAUGACGGCCUUCGGGUUGUAAACUCCUUUCGACCGCGAGGAAGCCACCUGGUUGGAAGGGUGGUGACGGUAGUGGUAGAAGAAGCACCGGCUAACUACGUG
This 494-nucleotide ribosomal RNA is filed under the name uncultured bacterium. RNAcentral describes it as "partial 16S ribosomal RNA". It matches the Rfam family "Bacterial small subunit ribosomal RNA", at positions 28 to 507 of the family's 1533-position model. The record is from RNAcentral.